CAAUAGUGUAUAUUAACGUUGUUGCAGUUAAAAAGCUCGUAGUUGGAUUUCUGGAGGGAGCGUCGGCCCGUAUUUACGAGUGCGUGACGUCUCUGUCCAUCCUUGCGGGAAGGCACGGCAUUGAUUUGUUGUGUCGGAUCGCAUCAUUUACUGUGAAAAAAUUAGAGUGUUCAAAGCAGGCUUUCGCUUGAAUACAUUAGCAUGGAAUAAUAAGAUAGGACUUUGGUGCUAUUUUGUUGGUUGAGCCUAAAGUAAUGAUUAAUAGGGAUAGUUGGGGGCACCUGUAUUGCGUUGUCAGAGGUGAAAUUCUUGGAUUUACGCAAGACAAACAGCUGCGAAAGCGUCUGCCAAGGAUGUUUUCAUUAA
RNAcentral lists this ribosomal RNA (366 nucleotides) under uncultured eukaryote. RNAcentral describes it as "partial 18S ribosomal RNA". It matches the Rfam family "Eukaryotic small subunit ribosomal RNA", at positions 592 to 976 of the family's 1831-position model. The record is from RNAcentral.